Non-coding RNA from Ovis aries (sheep), 73 nucleotides. Lineage: Eukaryota; Metazoa; Chordata; Mammalia; Artiodactyla; Bovidae. The record is from Rfam.
UCCCUGGCCGUCCAGUGGUUAGGACUCUGUACUUCCAAUGCAGGAAACCUGGGUUUGAUCCCAGGUCAGGGAA